CAACUGUUAAAAUAAACACUAUACUCGAUAUUUUAGACAAUUAAAAUUGUGCUCGGCAUCCCUCAUCAUCAAUUGUCAUGUGAAGUCAUUUCUUUUUCAAGAUUUACUUGUUUAUAAUAAGAAUCCUUUUAAAUUUUGAUUUUUCUACCAUUCCGUCCAAAUGCUGUUAUGUCUUGCAUCACCAUUUGGUUUUCCCGCAGUUUGAUGCUUGGUUUAAAAGAUGUUCCUGAGUGUUAACAGGUCAUCCCAAUCCAGUUCUCAAUUUGUAUAGCUAAAUUUUCCAUCAUUUUCUUUGCUGAACCCACUUGCUGCUAACAAGGAUGUUUAAAGAUGCACACGGCAGUGAUGGCACUCAUUGUGCUUACCAAAGGGGCAUGCAGACCAACAUUUUAAUACCACAGUUUUUUGUAUACAAUCAAUUGUCGAUACCAAAUUACAUGAUUCAAUGGUAAAAUAAAAUUAUCUGUAACUGUAUUCUUGUGCUAUUGCUCCAAGUGGUACAUUCGGUAAACAUAUUCAGCC
Paramuricea clavata is the source of this 522-nucleotide non-coding RNA. NCBI's taxonomy places the organism in Eukaryota, Metazoa, Cnidaria, Anthozoa, Malacalcyonacea, Plexauridae. The record is from the annotation of a GenBank genome assembly.